GCCCUCGUAGCCCAACGGCAGAGGCAACGGUCUGAGGGACCGUACGGUGCGCGUUCGAAUCGCGCCGAGGGCAC
This 74-nucleotide transfer RNA is filed under the name Actinoplanes digitatis. Its description in RNAcentral is "tRNA-Leu". It matches the Rfam family "tRNA". Rfam says of the family: Transfer RNA (tRNA) molecules are approximately 80 nucleotides in length. Their secondary structure includes four short double-helical elements and three loops (D, anti-codon, and T loops). The record is from RNAcentral. Lineage: Bacteria; Bacillati; Actinomycetota; Actinomycetes; Micromonosporales; Micromonosporaceae.